RNAcentral lists this ribosomal RNA (1122 nucleotides) under Angaria neglecta. RNAcentral describes it as "12S ribosomal RNA". Lineage: Eukaryota; Metazoa; Mollusca; Gastropoda; Trochida; Turbinidae. The record is from RNAcentral.
AAUCAGAAAUUCACCAAUUAACCUGAGGAUUUGGUCUUAGUCCACGCUCUUAGUUUCGGCGACAAUCAAACACAUGGUACCAUUCGGAGUACAGUGAGGGUAAAAAAAAUAAAGUUGUUGUUAAAAACACUAUUUUCUGUUAUUUUUUAACCAACAUAAUUAUUUUAAUAUUACGUUAAAUCUAUUUCACUUAACAAUAACGCCAGUGUUGGAGAUUAAGUAAAUAAAUUAGUGUUUGACUUAGUGAUUAGCCCAAAGGCCCGGUAAAGUUUGUGCCAGCCACCGCGGUUAUACAAACGGACCAAAUUAAGAUAGAACAGUAAAAAAAUUAGUCAGGAAAUGAUGACACUAUGCAUCAAAUUAAUAGAAAAAUUAAAUUUUUAUUAUGGAGGUAAAAUUCGCAUAAUUAAAAUAAACUAUUAUUUUCUUCCCUUCUGAUUCUAAGAAAUCUCACUAAGAAACCGGGAUUAGAUACCCCGCUAUCUGAGGCGUAAAACUUAAUUGCACAUUAAAUUUACUAGAGUAAUACGAGGAGGACACCAGUCCUAAUAGUAAAGUAAGAACUUACUACAGCUCACCUUAAAACUCAAAAGACUUGGCGGUACUUUAGAUCCUUCCAGGGGAACCUGUCCUGUAAUCGAUAGUCCACGAUCAACCUCACCUUCCUUUGAACUAUGAAAAUUACCAUCAUAAAUCAACUUGUAUACCGUCGUCGCCAGAUUACCUUUAGAGAGAAAACCAGUUAUCAAUAAGAAGCAUCGCUUACUUCACCAUUAGGAAUUUUAUUUAUCUAACUAUAACAAGUUAGUGGAACUAUAAAUUACUAACUAAAGUAAAACAAUUUCUUCUACACGUCAGAUCAAGGUGCAGUUAACAGGAAGGAAGAGAUGGGUUACAAUAAUUAAUUUAUUAUACAGAUAUUUAUUUGCAAAAAUAAAUUGAAGGAGGACUUGGAAGUAAUCUAUAAAUUUACAAGAAAUUAGAAUGCCUAGAUGAAAAUGGCUAUAAAGUAUGCACAUAUCGCCCGUCGCUCUCGUUAGAAAAUGAGAUAAGUCGUAACAUAGUGAGGGUACUGGAAAGUGCCCUUAGAGAUACUUUAUUAAUUAACAUAUAAAUUAACAU